RNAcentral lists this non-coding RNA (23 nucleotides) under Rattus norvegicus (Norway rat). Lineage: Eukaryota; Metazoa; Chordata; Mammalia; Rodentia; Muridae. The record is from RNAcentral.
UACAAAAGGGAAUGUGCCUGUGU